GAUACGGGACAAAUGGCCAUCUUAUCUUUUGAUGACAUUUUUGGAGGCCAACACAUAGAGGCUCAAGACUUGGUCACCUCAAGAAUACAAGAACAUGCAUGGAGGACCCGUUUUGAGCAUAACUUAAAGCAAUCUCGCGUGUGGAAGAUUGCUUGGAGCAUUUAAGGUUGAGGACUCACGGUUUUGGACCUUAAUUAAGGGCAUUUUGGACAUUACACAUGGUAUAUUUACACAUCAUGGCCGCCCCUCUCAUUAAGGGCAAAGUGAUCUUUUUAUCUUCAUUUGUAAUAUGUUAUAAAUAGGCCCCCUAAGUCUUAUUUUCACUAGAUUUGGAAUGAUGAAGAAUUGAAAGACAUAUUUUCUCUCUUUUGAGAGUGUAACACCCUUAGUUGUAGAGCUUGGAAAAGUCAUCCUUAGCAUAGGGUUGGAAAAGCCAAUAUUGAUCUUUGCUUGGAAACGGUAGAUCUUGAGGUGAGUUCAUUCCCUUGGUGGUCACUGUAAGAGUGUGGUUUUGAUUGUUAUAUUCAUUAGGGGUUAGUGUUGAAAUACACUUGGUUCUUAAUCUUGUAAUAAUCUUGGUCUCACUGUCUAUCUUUAUUUUCUUUCAAAUCGUGUAUGUGCUGUGUAGUGGACUGUUUUGGGGUCUUCGUUGAAUCCAAAACUUGUAUUAUUGUUGUUCAUAUUGUUCAUCACAUUUUGUAGCUGUUUUGGUGUUAAAAUAUACUCUUGUAUCUUGUAUUCUUGUUGUUGGUAGCGAAUCCGAGUAUGGUCUCCAUCUUGGUCCUAGAUUCCUUAAGAUUAGUGGAUUGAUUUGGUGUUUGUUUUGUGCUUCCCUUGUCUUUGCCUUAUUAUUUCGUAUCAAAGCAUGGAUUGAUUUUGUUCCCACAAUAUCAAUCUUACGCUUAAGACCUUGAAAACUACAAAAAAAAAUUGAAAUCUGAAAAUUCCAGAAACAGUCAAAUCUGCCACCUUUGUGUUCUUGGCCAAAAAUUGCGUUCUUGUUAUGUCUUGGCCGAGAUUUGUUUGUUGUAUGUCUAGAUCUAGUAGUGUUCUUGUUUGUUUUGUUGUUUUUAGUGUUAGUUUUCUUGUCCACUAACACUUUGAGUCUAGAUCUAAACUUGAGCUUGAACUUGUUGAAUUUGUAGUUGCCUUGGCCAAGUGUUGGAGAUAUUGUUAUUGUGGAUUGGAGUUGUCCGUGUGAAAAAUUGUUGGUGUUCUUGAAGAUUAUUGUUGUAGUUCUUGGUGAUGUUGUUGUUGUUCUUGAUAUUCAUACCACUUUCAUAUAUUGUUGAAGAUAAAGUGAAUGCUAAAUCCAAAAAGUUGAAGGAAAAAGGUGUAUUAUUUGUUAGUCUUGAAAGACACUACAACCAACAAGGACCUAUCAAUCAAGUCUCAACCACUUUCCAACACUUUUCCAUGAUUUAAGGAUCCAUGCUUUACGGAGAAGAACAAGAAAAAAGUCAAGUCUUGAAAAUUGAAAAAGGCCCCAAGACUUAUUUUCCCUCCUAAAACAAAUUCCACCAAUCUAAAUAAUUUUUUUUUGACCAAGACUUGAACAUUUGAGAAUAACCACUUGAUAAAUCGAACUAAUACGUGGCUGCCAUGUCAUCACUGCUACUGUUCACACAAUAUUUCCGAGCUCAAAAUGUUAGAUUCUUAGUUUCAUAUUAUUGUUUCAUUAGUUUCAUGUCUUGAUUCUAUAACUAAUUAACAACUAGUAAUCACCUACUUAGUUAUAGAUUAAUUAUUGAUUCCGUUUCUUCGUGUCUUCGUUAUUUGUGUGCUUUUCUCAUUUUUAACUCGUAGUAAAUUCUUUGUUUCAAGUUUGUAAUUAAAUUUUAUUUUUGUGUCUUGAGUCGAUCAAACAAGAAUCUAUUCCGGCCACCAAGUAGAAUUGACAUCUUAUUGACUACCGGAGUAUAAGCAACUUUCAAUAUUUUCCACUCCAAUUGUGAUAAUCACGAAGGUGAGUAAAUACGAGUGUUAGUGAGAAGUUUUUACUACUAAUCUUAUUUGUUCAUUUUGUAGGUUUAAAAGGUGAUAUAAGGGGAAUAUGUCUUCGAUAGUUGGGGAUUAUUGUGACUACGAAAUGGGAGACUAUGAUUGUAGUGAGGGGUUUUAUGGCUACAAAGUUGAGGUAGAUUGUGGAGGCUAUGAAAAUAGUCAUCAUCAAAACUUGGGCAGAUUUGAAAGUUACUGUUUUAAGGGAGAAAAUGAGGUGAAUGAAGUGCCUAGUGCUUAUGGUAACUUUAGAGAUGAUGUAGGACCUCGUGAUGGUUCUUAUGAUGAUGGUGGGGCAUAUGAGGAGUCUUACACUUCUUACUCUGAACCUAGAUUUGGUGUUAGGUAUAACCCUUUUGUUCGCAAAGCUUAUGAGAGUUAUGAUGACAGUACACGUGAGGAGUAUGAAGAUCCAUACUCUCCACCUUGUAGUACUUCUUAUCAAAGUCGAUAUAGUGUGAAUGAUUAUACUAGCUCUAGUGGAGGUUGUCCAAUGAGAAGAAGAGAAUAUGCAUCUCCAAAACCAAGGGGUACUCGUAUGCCUUACAAUGUUGAUCCAAGAAGGAGUGUACACUCCGAAAAGGUGACCAUGUGUGGGAUACCGGGCUGGCUCGUUGUACUAAAUGAUAGGUACUAUAGAAACUACAUCGUUCCAUCCAUGGUUGACUACUUGGGGUUGUUUCGUGAUCCUUUACUUGUUCCAUACUUCUUGGACGAGUUUAAGGUUACUGAGAGGGUCAAGGUUGUCGUCUACCAAUUUGAAUACCACGAGGAAGUGUGGUGCGAUAUUCUUCCAUUGACAUAUGGUUAUGUAUGCUUAGGUGUCAAUUGGUUUGCACAACAUAGAGUUCCAAACGUACAAAAUUGGCCAAAUAUUAGAAGAGACCAAUGAGGGAAUCGCCUCAUGACUUACUUGCUGCCCAAGCCACAAAGAGAAAUGCCUACCUGCUCCAAUCCAAAUUAUUAUGAGAGACAAAAGAUUAAGAGGAGUAAGGGAGUGCAGGGUGGUAAUCCGAGAGUGGAAAAAGGAGAGGUUGUGUGGAGCAAAGUAAGAGGAUUACCACCAAAUCAUGCUAACAUUAGUUGUCCUUCUAUUUCUAAGGACAUUUGUGUAGGUACCAACAUGGCAAGCGAAGAAGAACAAUGCCAAAAGAAAGUUUCUGCCCAAACUUUUGGAGGACCUUCACACCAUGACAAAGAAGAAUCUACUCUCAAGGACUUCAAGGUAAAAUAGCAAACUCUUACACUUUUGUACAUGUGAAUAAUAAUUGUGUCGCUAGCAGCCCAUUGAGUGUGAGUUAUAGCUUGCCUAUAUGUGAGUGUAUUGUUUCUUUGCCACUUGAUGAUGAUGUACAUAUCGUGAGCGUGGAUACAUUAUUUGAUCCUACUAAUGACCGAAUAGACUCUUCUUGUAAGAUCGAUUUAUGUCCACCUAUUGUUGAAACCAUAAUGUUGAAUGAAAGUACAUUAUCUUCUAAAAUUUGUGUUAAUCAACUUAUGUGUGAAAAUUACCCACCACUUGAGGAUGUGUAAGAUGUAAUUAAUGAACCUCAAGUGUGUGAUGAUGUUGAAAAUGUUGAUUAAAGUGAGAAUGAACCCGAGAGCUCUUCUUGGGGUAAUGUUGUGUUUGAAACAUCCUUGAAACUUGAUAUUGAUCAUUUAAAGAGUGAGGAACUUGCUUGUUCCAAAUCUGUCCGUGAGGUAGAUCAUACUCUUUUUAUGUAUAAUGUCUUGUUUGAAGAUGAUUUAAACACUCCUAAUGAACCUAGUGGUGAAAAUGAUGGUAUAGCUUACCUUGGAAGCUAUAGCCUAAUGCUAACCCAAUAUGGUGUGACAACAUUCCUCCUAAAGAGGGAAAGCUCUUCUUGGAAGAUGAGAGUACUCUUGAGGGUAAGGAAUGUGUAGUUGCAAAAGCUACUUCUUCUUCUACUUUGAGUGAUUUCAUUGUUGAGAGUACUCAUGGUGAUUAUUGGGAAACUAGUAGUGAGUACACACAUAAGAGCACCUUAGUAGAAGUCGAUUUGAGUGAUACCUUUUUUUCUACUCUCUAUUUGCUUUGGAUGAUAUGUAUGUUAUUGUAGAGAGUAUGUCAUUUAGUUUGGGUGUAGACCACGGGAAAGGGAAGUGUUGUCGAGACCCGUGUCUAUAGCCACUUUUCCCAUUUGACCCCGGUGCCAAAUUUAGAAAUGGUGAUGUUGGUGCACCAAACUUGCUACUUGGUCUACAUGACGAGCAAAGUGUCACUCUUGAUUUAUCCUACAGCCAAAUCCUUUAUCCAUCUUUUAUUGAGUUUUUAAUAUUUCUUUCAAAGGAUUCUUGGUUAUAUUUCAAAUAUGUGCAACCUUGGCAUGUUGAGAUGAUUUGUUAUGCUAAUCCUAACCCUCAUGCCAUGAGUACUUUGUAUUUGUUUGUCCUCUUUUCGGUUUUGCAAGAUUUGGAUUUGAGGUCGAAUCCUUUUCAAGAAGGGGAGGAUGAUACGGGACAAAUGGCCAUCUUAUCUUUUGAUGACAUUUUUGGAGGCCAACACAUAGAGGCUCAAGACUUGGUCACCUUGAGAAUACAAGAACAUGCAUGGAGGACCCGCUUUGAGCUUAACUUAAAGCAAUCUCGCAUGUGGAAGAUUGCUUGGAGAAUUUAAGGUUGAGGACUCACGGUUUUGGACCUUAAUUAAGGGCAUUUUGGACAUUACACAUGGUGUAUUUACACACCAUGGCCGCCCCUCUC
This 4725-nucleotide long non-coding RNA is filed under the name Capsicum annuum. Its description in RNAcentral is "long non-coding RNA (CANN_LNC014553)". The record is from RNAcentral. Lineage: Eukaryota; Viridiplantae; Streptophyta; Magnoliopsida; Solanales; Solanaceae.